CCUACGGGAGGCUGCAGUGGGGAAUAUUGGGCAAUGGAGGAAACUCUGACCCAGCAACGCCGCGUGAAUGAUGAAGGUCUUCGGAUUUUUAAGUUUUUUUCUAAGGGAAGAAGAAAGUGCCGGUACCUUAGGAAUAAGCCUCGGCUAACUACGUGCCAGCAGCCGCGGUAAUACGGAGGCGGCAAGCGUUCUCCGGAAUGACUGGGAGUAAAGGGUGCGUAGGUGGUUUGACAAGUUGGUAGCGUAACUCCGAGGCUUAACCUCGGCACUACUACCAAAACUGUUGGACUCGAGUGAAGGAGAGGCAAAUGGAAUUCCUAGUGUAGCGGUGGAAUGCGUAGAUAUUAGGAGGAACACCAGUGGCGAAGGCGGCUUACUGGACUGUAACUGACGUUGAGGCUCGAAAGCGUGGGGAGCAAACAGGAUUAGAUACCCGAGUAGUC
This 443-nucleotide ribosomal RNA is filed under the name uncultured bacterium. RNAcentral's name for it is "partial 16S ribosomal RNA". It matches the Rfam family "Bacterial small subunit ribosomal RNA", at positions 338 to 795 of the family's 1533-position model. The record is from RNAcentral.